Molecule: non-coding RNA, 1107 nt
Organism: Epinephelus lanceolatus (giant grouper)
Lineage: Eukaryota; Metazoa; Chordata; Actinopteri; Perciformes; Serranidae
Source: RefSeq, a predicted model, not a curated record
UCGCGCCGGCUCACACUUGCAGAGGGCAGCAGUAACAGAGAACGGUCUUGUUUCUCCGUUUCACCGGAGCGCGCUCUCUCGCUCCUUCUCUCUCCCCUUCACCAGUGUGUGUGCUGCUGCAGUGGCUCUUAUUAUUAUUACAGAAGCUGUCGCUUGCGCCGGGCGGCCGGGACAGCGCGAGGGAAGAGUAGAGAGCAAAGGGGAAAGGUGUUUCACCACCUGAGCGAUUUAUUUUCGGGAGGAAAAAGGACGCUAUGGACGGAAAAACAUCCCGGUUCCAUUGACUCCGCGUUAGUUUAAUUGUAGUUUUGCCGCUGUAGAGACAGAAGAAGCCACCAUUUCAUCUGUCUUCACAGACCGACACUUCUUUUCACGUGUGCGUUUUUGCUGACAGCCGCGCGCGCCGUGCUGCCUUGGACAUAGUAUCCUCGAGCCUCUCUGGGUUGGUCUACGCGCCGCGUUGCGUUUCACAAAACUUAAAAUUAACAACCAGGCUUCACACUCCGCAGGAAAACAAAGAAACAACACUUUCCGGAGUGAGAUAAUUGGAAAUAAACCGUCUAGAAACGUGAGUAAAGUAGUGAAAGAGGACCGUGCGGCGAAUAUGGUGCUCUGAAUGCGCUUUUUCUAGUUUUCUUUUUUUGCCAUUUUCACCAUUAACACUGACGUCGAGCAGCUGAACGAGUGGAAGAAGUUUUUUGUUGGAAAAAGUGGAAGAAAAAUAACCGGCUACACGACGGUGGUCGUAAACUGGGAGAGGAGGGUCCCCCCACUCUGGGACGAACAGCGCUGUGUACGGCUGUAUGGUCCUGAACGACACUGAUGCUUCAACGUGAGACUCCCCUCUGCCUCACACCUGCCAGCACAGUUUUGGAAGCACAGAAGGGGAUGACGCAACUUGGCGGCAGACCAGUGUCAUUCAACUGCUAGACCACUCAACAAGUUGGUAGGUUACACUCGAACCCUCUCACUGUCUCUCCAUCUGUAUCUCUGUAUUUCUCGCUGAAUCACGGCUUGGCAUUGUCUAUCUGCCUCUCAGUUAUUCCCUCUUCAACAUAUUUCGCUGCCUAUCCUGUUCAUUUUUGUCGAAAUUGUUCUUUCUGCUUC